GACGAACGCUGGCGGCGUGCUUAACACAUGCAAGUCGAACGGAAAGGCCCUGCUUUUGUGGGGUGCUCGAGUGGCGAACGGGUGAGUAACACGUGAGUAACCUGCCCUUGACUUUGGGAUAACUUCAGGAAACUGGGGCUAAUACCGGAUAGGAGCUCCUGCUGCAUGGUGUGGGUUGGAAAGUUUCGGCGGUUGGGGAUGGACUCGCGGCUUAUCAGCUUGUUGGUGGGGUAGUGGCUUACCAAGGCUUUGACGGGUAGCCGGCCUGAGAGGGUGACCGGCCACAUUGGGACUGAGAUACGGCGCAGACUCCUACGGGAGGCAGCAGUGGGGAAUAUUGCACAAUGGGCGGAAGCCUGAUGCAGCAACGCCGCGUGCGGGAUGACGGCCUUCGGGUUGUAAACCGCUUUCGCCUGUGACGAAGCGUGAGUGACGGUAAUGGGUAAAGAAGCACCGGCUAACUACGUG
This 468-nucleotide ribosomal RNA is filed under the name uncultured bacterium. RNAcentral's name for it is "partial 16S ribosomal RNA". It matches the Rfam family "Bacterial small subunit ribosomal RNA", at positions 28 to 507 of the family's 1533-position model. The record is from RNAcentral.